UAACCUGCCUGGUAGCGGGGGAUAACUAUUGGAAACGAUAGCUAAUACCGCAUAAGAGUAGAUGCUGCAUGACAUUUGCUUAAAAGGUGCAAUUGCAUCACUACCAGAUGGACCUGCGUUGUAUUAGCUAGUUGGUGGGGUAACGGCUCACCAAGGCGACGAUACAUAGCCGACCUGAGAGGGUGAUCGGCCACACUGGGACUGAGACACGGCCCAG
RNAcentral lists this ribosomal RNA (217 nucleotides) under uncultured bacterium. RNAcentral describes it as "partial 16S ribosomal RNA". It matches the Rfam family "Bacterial small subunit ribosomal RNA", at positions 122 to 334 of the family's 1533-position model. The record is from RNAcentral.